GUCUCUCUGGUCUGUUUGCCAGUCAUAACACGUCCCGAGCCGAUAAUACCAACCAGGAAACUCCUCGCAGGUGUUGGAGUGCAUGUCUGCCUAGUAGCAGAAAGCCCAAUACAUCUCAGUAGUUUCCACCCUGACCGUUAACGGUCCGGGCAAACGUGGCAGCGGCAGCUUGGGGAGACU
Molecule: non-coding RNA, 180 nt
Filed under: Endozoicomonas sp. (ex Bugula neritina AB1)
Lineage: Bacteria; Pseudomonadati; Pseudomonadota; Gammaproteobacteria; Oceanospirillales; Endozoicomonadaceae
Description: 6S RNA
Rfam family: 6S / SsrS RNA
About the family: E. coli 6S RNA was the first non coding RNA to be sequenced, but its function was unknown until recently. It consists of 184 nucleotides that fold into an extended hairpin structure with a large single-stranded internal bulge. The 6S RNA specifically associates with RNA polymerase holoenzyme containing the sigma70 specificity factor.
Source: RNAcentral